CGAGUUUACUGUAACAUUUGAUG
RNAcentral lists this non-coding RNA (23 nucleotides) under Arabidopsis thaliana (thale cress). The record is from RNAcentral. Lineage: Eukaryota; Viridiplantae; Streptophyta; Magnoliopsida; Brassicales; Brassicaceae.